This 573-nucleotide ribosomal RNA is filed under the name Trigonopterus telagensis. Its description in RNAcentral is "SSU rRNA". It matches the Rfam family "Eukaryotic small subunit ribosomal RNA", at positions 29 to 578 of the family's 1831-position model. Lineage: Eukaryota; Metazoa; Arthropoda; Insecta; Coleoptera; Curculionidae. The record is from RNAcentral.
UGCUUGUCUCAAAGAUUAAGCCAUGCAUGUCUCAGUACAAGCCAAAUUAAGGUGAAACCGCGAAAGGCUCAUUAAAUCAGUUAUGGUUCCUUAGAUCGUACCCACAAUUACUUGGAUAACUGUGGUAAUUCUAGAGCUAAUACAUGCAAACAGAGCUCCGACCGGAGACGGAAGGAGUGCUUUUAUUAGAUCAAAACCAAUCGGUGGCGGGUUCGCGCUCGUUAUCGUACAACUUGGUGACUCUGAAUAACUUUACGCUGAUCGCACGGUCAUCGCACCGGCGACGCAUCUUUCAAAUGUCUGCCUUAUCAACUGUCGAUGGUAGGUUCUGCGCCUACCAUGGUUGUAACGGGUAACGGGGAAUCAGGGUUCGAUUCCGGAGAGGGAGCCUGAGAAACGGCUACCACAUCCAAGGAAGGCAGCAGGCGCGCAAAUUACCCACUCCCGGCACGGGGAGGUAGUGACGAAAAAUAACGAUACGGGACUCAUCCGAGGCCCCGUAAUCGGAAUGAGUACACUCUAAACCCUUUAACGAGGAUCAAUUGGAGGGCAAGUCUGGUGCCAGCAGCCGCG